RNAcentral lists this non-coding RNA (45 nucleotides) under Schistosoma margrebowiei. Lineage: Eukaryota; Metazoa; Platyhelminthes; Trematoda; Strigeidida; Schistosomatidae. The record is from RNAcentral.
GUCCAGCUGAUGAGUUGCAAACAGGACGAAACGAUGGUCCUGGAU